This 4301-nucleotide long non-coding RNA is filed under the name Homo sapiens (human). RNAcentral describes it as "HSALNT0223521". The record is from RNAcentral. Lineage: Eukaryota; Metazoa; Chordata; Mammalia; Primates; Hominidae.
GAGGUGGUUUAAUAAUCAUCACUUCUUGUCACAUAAAGGCUGUGACUCCAGAGUUUGUUGCAGAAGAAGUGUUGUGAAAGAAAUAAUUAAUAUGAUGGGUUUCGAAUGCUGUGCUCCUUGAGAAGGUCGCUCACUCUCUGAGCUGGUCUAUUCAUCUGAGUAAUGGGUCGCUGAGGGGCAAGGCCAAGGAGAAGGAAAGGAACUCCUCUGCAUGUCACUCUCUGACUCCUUAGUCCUUCCUCUCCUUUUUUUCUGAAAUGAGGUCCAUUUCCAAAGCUCUGCAACCUGGGGCCUGUGGAAACUUAAGAUCACUUGUGAGUUCCUAGAUACUACAUGCAGAAUUUGGCAUCUAUGAGCAUGUAGAAGUGGAUAAUUUUUGACAGUCUUCAAUAUAUUCUUGUUUAUAUAAUAUUCUUAAGUAUAUUCCUAAAAAUAAUUAAGAACCAUAAGCUGUGCUAGGGAAGUGGGCUCAUGGCCUUAUGUUAGUCUACUUGAAUAAAAAGACAGUCAAUGAGGUCAGUUUUCAGGUUUGGGUAUUUUGAUUACCUUUCCCCUUAGUUGUUUUAAAUGAGCAAAGGAGUAAUGGGGUUUUCCACCACAUAACAGAAUAUCUAUGAGUCAUCAGUGUCCUGAGAAGCUAAACGUCCUACUAAGGAUCCUGCAAAGGGAAAACAGAAGAGGAACUUGCACUUUUUGAGAACUUGCUGUGUGCCAUAAGCCUAAGUCCCUAUGUGGGAAGGAUUCUACCCACACAUGACAGAGGAGGAGACUGAAGCAUGGUAUGUUUAAAUAAAUUCUUCUGUAUUGGAAUGCUGAUCUUUCUGCCUCCAAACCCACAACUUAAAAAAAAAAAAAAAAAAAAAAAAGGUCAGGUGCAGUGGCUCAUGCCUGUAAACUCUGCACUUUGGGAGGUGGAGACAGAUGGAUCACUUGAGGUCAAGAGUUCAAGAACAGCCUGGGCAACAUGGUGAAACGCCCAUCUCUACCAAAAAAUACAAAAAAAAUUAGCCAGGCAUGAGAGAAUCGUGAGAACCCGGGAGGCAGAGGUUUCAGUGAGCCAAGAUUGUGCCACUGUGCUUCAACCUGGGCAACAGAAUGAGAGACCCUGUCUCGAAAUAAAAUAAAUAAAUAAAAUAAAAAAUAAAGUAUUUAAUUUUCUCAGAUUAUACAUUUAUUGUAAAAUAAACAGAAAUCACUCUACUAUCAUCAUAGCGUUUCCUUCCUUUCUCUAAAUAUAUUGCCACAGCAUGUAUCCUUCCAGUAUAUACAUAUAUACACAUAUAUACACACACACAGUAUGUAUACAUAUAUACAUUUCCAAAGUUGUGAUUAUAAUAUAUGUGCCAUUUUCUAUUCUCCUUUAUUUCGCUUAAUAUAACAUGAAUAUUUAACACUUAUGAACAUCUUUUACUGAUUGAUUAUGUUAUAUUCUGAACAAAAAUCUAGCAUCAUGUACUAACCCAUUCAAUUACCAUUGCAGAUGAAAGUUGUUUGCCUAAUUUUAAUAAGGCUUAUUAUUUUAACAACCCUUAUUAUGUUUAAGCAUAAAGGUGGUAGGAUUCUUUUUACAUGCUAGAGUCCUAGAAAUAGACAUAGGGAAUGGACCUUUGUAAGGAUUUUUUUUAUAUUUGUUAAAAUAGUGCAGAAAAGUUAAGUUCAUCUACCCUCUCAUUCAUAGGAGUUGGCCUGUUUCAUCUGUUUCAUGCAUGUUUGUUAGUAUUGCAGACCAGCAAAUUUGUAAAUUUCGUUAAUUUGAUUUUCUUAGAAAAAGAAAUGGCGUUUUGCUGGAGAAAGCAGCAUAGCGGAAUGUAAAGCGGUAAAGCGUGUAUGCUCUGGAGCCACAGACCUAGAUGGUGAAGUCUAGCUCUGGUACUUGACAGAUCCCAUUCUCCAUCAUCUCCACCCUGCUCUGUGACCCAGUCGGCUGCUCUGCUUGAACGACAUCAACAAGCUUCCUGCAUCCUCAUGUCUAGCUGAACUCAACCAGUGGGAAGUACCAGCAGGAGAUCAAAAGAAAGGAGCAAAGUACAGUCAAGAUGUUUAUUUAUUUCUCUGUUCUUUUCUGCCAAAGGUACACAAAAUCAGACACUAGUUAAAGGCAUUCAGGACAGAUUUUAUAUGGUAAUAACUAUCGCAAUGGAGUAGAGAGUCCAGUGUGAACUGAACUUCACCAAAACAAAAAGCUGGAGUCUUUUUAAAGGCUGGGGUAUGCUAGGGGAAAGGCACUGACAGGAAGAAGAACAGGGCUUGGUCCAUGGGCUUAGGCCAUCUGAGUCUGUUAACUGGUGUUUAUCAAAGUUGGGUUCCUGAUCCCUGCAGAGACUAGGAGACAAGGGCCCUAUCUUCAGGUGCUGGCUGGAACAAAUAGUAAAUUCUUUUGGCAGGCUUUCCCAGGCAGGAACCUAAGGGGACUGGAAUCAUAAUCCUAGGGAUGUGACCUUGAGCUGUUAGACUAUGCUAGGGUUUACAUCUCUUCGUGCAGAGGAUUGGAUGGAGUCCUUAAGGGUCAAGACAGUUCUCUUUUCAGUUCUCAUUUCCCUAACAGGUCCACUGUGGGAUGGCUGCUUCUCUUGACCCAUGGUUUCAGCUCCUGACAGGUAGCCACUCCAUGCAGCCCUUCUCUCAUUGGGUUCUGGUGACCAUCCUCUCCUCUUGCCUCUUUGGGUAUAACAGUGGAUAGUGAUACUCUUGAUAAUAAUACUAUUCCUCAUGGUUUUCCUAUACUGUGACCACACUUUUGUAAAGAGUGAUUUAAUAAAUAUGCAGUAACUGUGGUUCUCAAUGUUCUCCCAUAUCUCUUGAAGCAUUUUGGCAUGCUUUGGUUGACUUACAACUGCUGCACCUGCAUCCUGUGCCUGCAAACAUUUUCUGGAACCUUGGAAGUCUCCUUUGCCCACAACUCUAGGAGGCCAGCUGUGCUGGGAAACUAACAUCCUCCACCCAUGAGCAGAUCUCCAACAAUGGCUCUCAGGAGUUGGUGAAUGAAUACCCAGCUCCCUCAUCCUUGGGUGGUAUCAUGCUAAGGCAUGUGUUUUCAACAACUAUGCACAGAGUUUUCCUAGGUAAUAAACUCUAGUCACCCAUUCUCAGUUAUCUAUUCUUGCCUAACAAACCAACCUAAACUUAGACUGACUUAAUACAAUAAACAUUUUAUUUGCUUAUAGUUCUGUGGAUCCGCAAUUUUGGUUGGGUACAGCUGGGUGCUUCUUCUACUGAUCUCAUCUGGGAUUAGUCAUUUGGCUACAUCACUUGGGGGAUCAAGUGGCAGCAGGUUUCUCUAGAGGACCUCAGGUUCCACAUGGUGUCAUCCUCUGGGAGGCUAGUGUGGGCUUCUUCCCAGGGUCAUCUCAGAACAUUUCUAAGAGGACUAGUAAAUAAACAGCAAGACCUCUUGAGGACUAGCCCCGAUAUCACUUCCACUAUGUUCUGUUGAUCAAAGCAAAUCACAAAGCCAGACAAGAUUCAAGGGUUAGGGAAAUAGUCUUGCUCUUCAGAAUUCACAAUCAUUUUCAAUCUACCAUACACACUAGGACAGCUGCCUUUCCUCUCCCAUUAGAGGAUAGCAGUAGGAUAGUUGCCUUUCCUCCCCAAUACAGAGGAAAGCUGUACUUUCCUCUGUCACACCCCCAUUCCCCUACUAGCAACCUCUUCACCUUCCAAAUAAGAAGUUGCACUAAAAUUCUUGUCUCAACGUCUGGGUGAACCUAAACUCUCUUAAAAUUAUUUUAAUUUCAGUGAUUCAUUUGUUUAUUGCUGAUAUAGAAUGGUAUUAGAUAUUAUCAUACAAUUUAGUGCAAGGCUUGAAAAGGGCACAGGGUUUUAGGAAUCCCCAUAUAAUGUUGCCAGUAAGAGGUGAGGGUGUCUCACUGUGAUAAAUAUUACUAGUGCCCAUCCAAAUUUCUGAUGAUUUUUCCCUUCCAUUUGUGCAAGAGAAUUAUGCUUCCCACACCCCUUGAAGUUAAACAUGGCCAUAUGGUUUGCUUUGGCCAAUAAACCAUGGGUGGAUGUGGUACAGUGUACGUAUGCUUGCCUCAAGAAAGAGGGCAUAGGCCGGGUGCGGUGGCUCAUGUCUGUAAUCCCAGCACUUUGGGAGGCCAAGGUGGGUGGAUCACCUGAGGUCAGGAGUUUGAGACCAUCCUGACCAACAUGGAGAAACCCCAUCUCUACUAAAAAUACAAAAUGAGCCAGGCAUGGUGGCGAACGCCUGUAAUUCCAGCUACUUGGGAGGCUGAGGCAGGAGAGUUGCAUGAACCUGGGAGGCAGAGCUUGCAGUGAGCCGAGAUGGCGCCAUUGCACUCCAG